This 84-nucleotide small nucleolar RNA is filed under the name Lottia gigantea (owl limpet). Lineage: Eukaryota; Metazoa; Mollusca; Gastropoda; Lottiidae. The record is from RNAcentral.
UCUGUCAGUGAUGAUUAUGUUAAUUCACUAAAUUGAAAAAUAAUUUAAUGAAAAUUGUAUACAUGCACCACCAUCUGAGACAGA